UACAGAGGGUGCGAGCGUUGUUCGGAAUUGCUGGGCGUAAAGAGCGUGUAGGCGGUCUAGCAAGUCAGAUGUGAAAGCCCGGGGCCUAACUCCGGAAGUGCAUUUGAAACUGCUAGGCUUGAGUGAUGUAGAGGUUAGCGGAAUACCCAGUGUAGAGGUGAAAUUCGUAGAUAUUGGGUAGAACACCGGUGGCGAAGGCGGCCAAACUGGGCAUUAACUGACGGCUGAGACGCGAAAGCGUGGGGAGCAAACAGG
This 255-nucleotide ribosomal RNA is filed under the name uncultured bacterium. Its description in RNAcentral is "partial 16S ribosomal RNA". It matches the Rfam family "Bacterial small subunit ribosomal RNA", at positions 524 to 776 of the family's 1533-position model. The record is from RNAcentral.